RNAcentral lists this ribosomal RNA (247 nucleotides) under uncultured bacterium. RNAcentral describes it as "partial 16S ribosomal RNA". It matches the Rfam family "Bacterial small subunit ribosomal RNA", at positions 523 to 769 of the family's 1533-position model. The record is from RNAcentral.
AUACGGAGGGUGCAAGCGUUACUCGGAAUCACUGGGCGUAAAGGACGCGUAGGCGGGCUUGUAAGUCAGGUGUGAAAUCCUACAGCUUAACUGUAGAACUGCACUUGAAACUACUAGUCUAGAGUAUGGGAGGGGGAGAUGGAAUUAGUGGUGUAGGGGUAAAAUCCGUAGAUAUCACUAGGAAUACCUAAAGCGAAGGCGAUCUCCUGGAACAUUACUGACGCUAAGGCGUGAAAGCGUGGGGAGC